Molecule: unclassified non-coding RNA, 308 nt
Filed under: uncultured Plenodomus
Lineage: Eukaryota; Fungi; Ascomycota; Dothideomycetes; Pleosporales; Leptosphaeriaceae
Description: sequence contains ITS1
Rfam family: 5.8S ribosomal RNA (bases 1-105)
Source: RNAcentral
GAAAUGCGAUAAGUAGUGUGAAUUGCAGAAUUCAGUGAAUCAUCGAAUCUUUGAACGCACAUUGCGCCCCUUGGUAUUCCAUGGGGCAUGCCUGUUCGAGCGUCAUUUGUACCCUCAAGCUUUGCUUGGUGUUGGGUGUUUGUUCCCUGCGCUUGCGCUAUCGGGGACUCGCCUCAAAACAAUUGGCAGCCGGCAUAUUGGCCUGGAGCGCAGCACAUUUUGCGCCUCUUGUCAUGGUUGUUGGCAUCCAUCAAGGACUUUUAUCAGCUCUUGACCUCGGAUCAGGUAGGGAUACCCGCUGAACUUAA